UACGGAGGGUGCAAGCGUUAAUCGGAAUUACUGGGCGUAAAGCGCACGCAGGCGGUCUGUUAAGUCAGGUGUGAAAUCCCCGGGCUCAACCUGGGAAUUGCAUUUGAAACUGGGAGGCUAGAGUCCUGUAGAGGGGGGUAGAAUUCCACGUGUAGCGGUGAAAUGCGUAGAGAUUUGGAGGAAUACCGGAGGCGAAGGCGGCCCCUUGGGCUUAUACUGACGCUCAUGUGCGAAAGCGUGGGGAGCAACCAGG
This 253-nucleotide ribosomal RNA is filed under the name uncultured bacterium. RNAcentral's name for it is "partial 16S ribosomal RNA". It matches the Rfam family "Bacterial small subunit ribosomal RNA", at positions 524 to 776 of the family's 1533-position model. The record is from RNAcentral.